ACUCAAAGGAAUUGACGGGGACCCGCACAAGCGGUGGAGCAUGUGGUUUAAUUCGAGGCAACGCGAAGAACCUUACCAGCCCUUGACAUGGGUAGUAUGGAUUUCAGAGAUGAUUUCCUUCAGUUUGGCUGGCUACCACACAGGUGCUGCAUGGCUGUCGUCAGCUCGUGUCGUGAGAUGUUGGGUUAAGUCCCGCAACGAGCGCAACCCUCGUCUUUAGUUGCCAUCAGGUUAAGCUGGGCACUCUAAAGAAACUGCCGGUGAUAAGCCGGAGGAAGGUGGGGAUGACGUCAAGUCUUCAUGGCCCUUAUGGGCUGGGCUACACACGUGCUACAAUGGCGGUGACAAUGCGCUGCUACCUCGCGAGGGGAAGCGAAUCGCAAAAAGCCGUCUCAGUUCGGAUUGUUCUCUGCAACUCGAGAGCAUGAAGUUGGAAUCGCUAGUAAUCGUGGAUCAGCAUGCCACGGUGAAUACGUUCCCGGGUCUUGUACACACCGCCCGU
This 502-nucleotide ribosomal RNA is filed under the name uncultured bacterium. Its description in RNAcentral is "partial 16S ribosomal RNA". It matches the Rfam family "Bacterial small subunit ribosomal RNA", at positions 899 to 1397 of the family's 1533-position model. The record is from RNAcentral.